UGGAGAUGACAAAUGGGUUGCCAUGCCAC
Molecule: non-coding RNA, 29 nt
Filed under: Mus musculus (house mouse)
Lineage: Eukaryota; Metazoa; Chordata; Mammalia; Rodentia; Muridae
Source: RNAcentral